This 491-nucleotide ribosomal RNA is filed under the name uncultured bacterium. Its description in RNAcentral is "partial 16S ribosomal RNA". It matches the Rfam family "Bacterial small subunit ribosomal RNA", at positions 29 to 506 of the family's 1533-position model. The record is from RNAcentral.
AGUGAACGCUGGCGGUAGGCCUAACACAUGCAAGUCGAACGGCAGCACAGUAAGAGCUUGCUCUUACGGGUGGCGAGUGGCGGACGGGUGAGGAAUACAUCGGAAUCUACUUUUUCGUGGGGGAUAACGUAGGGAAACUUACGCUAAUACCGCAUACGACCUACGGGUGAAAGCAGGGGAUCUUCGGACCUUGCGCGAUUGAAUGAGCCGAUGUCGGAUUAGCUAGUUGGCGGGGUAAAGGCCCACCAAGGCGACGAUCCGUAGCUGGUCUGAGAGGAUGAUCAGCCACACUGGAACUGAGACACGGUCCAGACUCCUACGGAGGGCAGCGGUGGGAAAUUUUGGACAAUGGGCGCAAGCCUGAUCCAGCCAUACCGCGUCGGUGAAGAAGGCCUUCGGGUUGUAAAGCCCUUUUGUUGGGAAAGAAAAGCAGCAGGUUAAUACCCCGCUGUUCGGACGGUACCCAAAGAAUAAGCACCGGCUAACUUCGU